GAUGAAGAACGUAGCGAAAUGCGAUAAGUAGUGUGAAUUGCAGAAUUUAGUGAAUCAUCGAAUCUUUGAACGCACAUUGCGCCCUUUGGUAUUCCUUAGGGCAUGCCUGUUCGAGCGUCAUUUAAACCUUCAAGCUCAGCUUGGUGUUGGGUGACUGUCCGCUUCACCGCGGACUCGCCUCAAAAUUAUUGGCGGCCGGUACAUUGGCUUCGAGCGCAGCAGAAACGCGAACUCGGGCCCGUCGUAUUGGCUCCCAGAAGCUAUCUUCACAAUUUUGACCUCGGAUCAGGUAGGGAUACCCGCUGAACUUAAGCAUAUCAAUAAGCGGAGGA
RNAcentral lists this unclassified non-coding RNA (332 nucleotides) under soil metagenome. Its description in RNAcentral is "partial contains 5.8S ribosomal RNA, internal transcribed spacer 2, and large subunit ribosomal RNA". The stretch from base 1 to 120 matches the Rfam family "5.8S ribosomal RNA", at positions 35 to 154 of the family's 154-position model. The record is from RNAcentral.